Molecule: unclassified non-coding RNA, 335 nt
Filed under: Tragopogon buphthalmoides var. stenophyllus
Lineage: Eukaryota; Viridiplantae; Streptophyta; Magnoliopsida; Asterales; Asteraceae
Description: partial external transcribed spacer
Source: RNAcentral
CUGCUUGCGCAGCAACUUCCAUGCGGGCUUACCUCUUCAUUURUGCUACAAGCCUUGUUUGGCUUGCAGCAUUCGGUGGGUUUCUUGUGUUGAUUACCUAAUCGAUGGCAUUGUUUGWCCCCAUUAGUUKGAUUUUGUAACACGUUGCUUGCGGCGUGAUACAAACAAUGAAGCAACCUUUGUUGUUCAACCUGUUGCUGCUCAUGCAUCGAUGGCUUGGCCCAUGAAGUGUUGAUUGGUCCCUUGGAUAUGGAACAUGAUGUGGGCACAAGUUCGUCAAAGAUCUUGUAUUUGCCCUAUUGAGUGAUUUAGCUUCUUUAAAUGACCGUUGUCCA